GAGGAAGGUGUUUUUCCUGAGACCAGAAC
RNAcentral lists this non-coding RNA (29 nucleotides) under Homo sapiens (human). Lineage: Eukaryota; Metazoa; Chordata; Mammalia; Primates; Hominidae. The record is from RNAcentral.